RNAcentral lists this unclassified non-coding RNA (1127 nucleotides) under Hevea brasiliensis (rubber tree). The record is from RNAcentral. Lineage: Eukaryota; Viridiplantae; Streptophyta; Magnoliopsida; Malpighiales; Euphorbiaceae.
AAUGGAAUCUCAUCAAUUCCAACAGUAUAUACACACAUCUAUAUAAAGAUUUCAAUACCGCUAUUAAUUUGACUAUAUAAUCUAACCUGAAUUAUCCAAUGGCCUAGACAAGUAAACUCAAGUUUAACCAACACAUACACUAUAACAAGCAACCCACAAUAGAAGUUAGCUGCAUUUAGAACAAAACACUAAUUCUAGACAAUGUCAUACUAUGGAGCAUCAGCCUUGCAAAGUGUACAAAGGAAAACUACUUUCAAAUAUAAGAAAUAAAUUUCUCAGUUCCAACAUGUGACUCAUUUGAUUAAAAAGAAAUGAUAUAUAUCAAGUGAUGCUACAUCAGGUUUUAAAUAUCAGAUUCAGAAUCGGUUUCAAAAUCGAAAAUGGCAUGAAGAAUCUGAUUGAAUAAGUCUGAAACAAACUAAAUCAACUGUCAAUUCUAUGAAUUUUUUAAAACAUUUAGUUCAAAGGAUUUUAAAUAAUGGAAUCGGAAAUGAUUGGAGAAUUGGAAACAGUGUAACAGAAUCGGCUGAUAUUUAAAAACAUGUGCUUAAUAUGCCAAAAAGAACUUGGGCCAAGUUUUAAUUGUAGCCACUUCUUUGGAAAUGAAUCAUUAUUUUCAUCUUCAUGCAUUAAUUACAAUUGUAGACAAGGUCCAAAAUCAGCUUCCAAACAAUGAUUUGGACAUUAAAAUAAUCCUAUAUUAUCAAAUAAGAGUCUUUUCUUUUAUCGAAUAGUUUGUAUUCUCGUUGUGUUUGUCAUCCAAGUGCAAUUGAUUGAUAUUACAUUAAAAAUUUAUUAAUUGAUGGCCACAUCAUCACUUGAAAAUGGAUUUUAGGUCCUGCCUACAAUUGUAAUUGAUACAAGUGUAGGUGAUAAUUAUGCAUCUACAGAAAUGCAGCCACAACUAUAAAUUUAGCCAAAAUCAGGUUUUUUGGGUCACUAACCCAUAAAGGGAGAGUAAAUUCCUGAUGGAUUGCUGGUGUAAGUUCUAUGCUAAUGUAAGUACCUAAAAUUGAGGGAUUAAGGAGAAUAACCCGUUGAGGAUAAAUCCAUUAUGCCUUAGUUGAAGCAUUUUGAUUGAAAGAAAUUGCAGUCUCUAAAUGAGCUGAGCCUGCUCUGGAUUACAU